RNAcentral lists this ribosomal RNA (186 nucleotides) under uncultured bacterium. Its description in RNAcentral is "partial 16S ribosomal RNA". It matches the Rfam family "Bacterial small subunit ribosomal RNA", at positions 1307 to 1500 of the family's 1533-position model. The record is from RNAcentral.
GCAACUCGACUCCAUGAAGCUGGAUUCGCUAGUAAUCGCGCAUCAGCCAUGGCGCGGUGAAUACGUUCCCGGGCCUUGUACACACCGCCCGUCAAGCCAUGGAAGCCGGGAGUGCCUGAAGUGUGCAACCGCAAGGAGCGCCCUAAGGUAAAACUGGUGACUGGGGCUAAGUCGUAACAAGGUAAC